Daktulosphaira vitifoliae (grape phylloxera) is the source of this 241-nucleotide long non-coding RNA. RefSeq lists it as uncharacterized. Lineage: Eukaryota; Metazoa; Arthropoda; Insecta; Hemiptera; Phylloxeridae. The record is from RefSeq and is a predicted model, not a curated record. The transcript is spliced from 2 exons.
UGAUAUUUGAUUAUUUGCUUUUAUGUUAUUUGCAUAGCUAUCAUUGCAUAGUUAGAAACAAAUUUUGUUGUUGUUUCCUAUAUAAGUGUCGCUAAAAAAUGGGGAGUCAUACAAAAAUAUCACUAACAAAAAAAAAAAAAUAUACAGGUAACAUAUUAACAUUAAAUAAGUGGCGUCAAAAAAAAAAAAAUCUGGUAAGGGAAAUUCUUAAUCAAAUGCCUCCUUUCAAUUUUCCAUUCAU